UACGUAGGGCGCAAGCGUUGUCCGGAAUUAUUGGGCGUAAAGAGCUCGUAGGCGGCUCGUCACGUCGGAUGUGAAAGCCCCGGGCUCAACCUGGGAACUGCAUUGGAAACUGGCGAGCUUGAGUGCGGCAGAGGGGGGUGGAAUUCCGCGUGUAGCAGUGAAAUGCGUAGAGAUGCGGAGGAACACCGAUGGCGAAGGCAGCCCCCUGGGCCGACACUGACGCUCAGGCACGAAAGCGUGGGGAGCAAACAGG
Molecule: ribosomal RNA, 253 nt
Filed under: uncultured bacterium
Lineage: Bacteria
Description: partial 16S ribosomal RNA
Rfam family: Bacterial small subunit ribosomal RNA
Source: RNAcentral